RNAcentral lists this long non-coding RNA (383 nucleotides) under Androctonus crassicauda. Lineage: Eukaryota; Metazoa; Arthropoda; Arachnida; Scorpiones; Buthidae. The record is from RNAcentral.
AUUAUGCUUUAUGGAUAGAGAAUUUUUUUUUAAUAAAACACAAAAUUCAUGAAUGUUAUGUCCAUGAUUAGUUUUUUAAUCUCAAAUCUCAGUUAUUCACUAAUCACUAAACAAUUAUGCAAUUCCAGGCCUAUAACAAAUUGCAAACAGUCAUGGAGAUCUGCUGAUCUGUACAUAAUGAGGAUUGAUGAGCCUGAUACAGAUUCUUCAUAUAUAUUUUCUCAGAGGUCUGCUCUUAAUUUAAUUCUGGAUCCUAUGAUUGUAAAACCAAAGUGUUUUUUCCUGAUCAAUCCAGUCAAAUGUCUUGUGAACUAUAUAGUUUAAUUAAUAUAUUAUUCACAGAUAAUACUGUAUACUUGAGUUAAUGCUCAUAUAAAAUAUGG